UUUUUAUACAUUCAUCCAUUUCUAUUGUUAAAAAUGGGCGUAGCUGAUGGAAUAAUCAAACAGUUACACAUGGCAUGCCACAUGUACCUCAUGUUGACGUACAUGGACCAAUUUUUAAUGGUAGAAAUUGAUGAAUUUUAAUC
Molecule: non-coding RNA, 143 nt
Organism: Gossypium arboreum
Lineage: Eukaryota; Viridiplantae; Streptophyta; Magnoliopsida; Malvales; Malvaceae
Source: Rfam